RNAcentral lists this ribosomal RNA (497 nucleotides) under uncultured bacterium. Its description in RNAcentral is "partial 16S ribosomal RNA". It matches the Rfam family "Bacterial small subunit ribosomal RNA", at positions 28 to 507 of the family's 1533-position model. The record is from RNAcentral.
GAUGAACGCUGGCGGCGUGCCUAAUACAUGCAAGUCGAGCGAACAGACGAGGAGCUUGCUCCUUUGACGUUAGCGGCGUACGGGUGAGUAACACGUGGGUAACCUACCUAUAAGACUGGGAUAACUUCGGGAAACCGGAGCUAAUACCGGAUAAUAUUUCGAACCGCAUGGUUCGAUAGUGAAAGAUGGCUUUGCUAUCACUUAUAGAUGGACCUGCGCCGUAUUAGCUAGUUGGUAAGGUAACGGCUUACCAAGGCAACGAUACGUAGCCGACCUGAGAGGGUGAUCGGCCACACUGGAACUGAGACACGGUCCAGACUCCUACGGGAGGCAGCAGUAGGGAAUCUUCCGCAAUGGGCGAAAGCCUGACGGAGCAACGCCGCGUGAGUGAUGAAGGUCUUCGGAUCGUAAAACUCUGUUAUUAGGGAAGAACAAACGUGUAAGUAACUGUGCACGUCUUGACGGUACCUAAUCAGAAAGCCACGGCUAACUACGUG